This 399-nucleotide long non-coding RNA is filed under the name Homo sapiens (human). Its description in RNAcentral is "non-protein coding LINC01500:2". The record is from RNAcentral. Lineage: Eukaryota; Metazoa; Chordata; Mammalia; Primates; Hominidae.
AGUAGCGCUGCCUGCAAACCAGCACCAAGGCUGCAAACGAAGCCAGAAAGAUGGUGGCCAGCACACCUAUGGCAACUAUCACCACGGUCUCCAUGCUUCCGGGGAGCUCCUGACUCAGUCCCGUUCACAUCGUCCUCAUGGGCUAAGGCUGCUGGAAGUGGCAAACUGGGGGAAGAGGAUGGCAGGAGCUAGGUUCCUCCACGACACCUCCAGAGACCUGAGGGCCUCAAGCUGCAGCUCCGGGGCACAUCCCGCUGCGCUCCCACGACGGCCCCGCGGAUGGCAAAGUCAGCGGUCGACGUUUAUUUCUUUCUGAACUUUCCUGGAGGAUCAUCGGCCAUACUCCAGCAGAAGGGUGGAUUUGAAAAAAUAACGUUUCCACGGCAACAGUGGCAGCAA